Long non-coding RNA from Rosa chinensis, 835 nucleotides. RefSeq lists it as uncharacterized. Lineage: Eukaryota; Viridiplantae; Streptophyta; Magnoliopsida; Rosales; Rosaceae. The record is from RefSeq and is a predicted model, not a curated record. The transcript is spliced from 4 exons.
AUUCAUUCAUUUAUCCUCUUUGUUCAGGCAAUUACUUUGUCAAGCUGCAUUGUUGCUCACAAUAAUGACUUGUUCGCUUUGCUGGUGUCCUAUAACUUUGCCGAGAUAAAAAGCAAUGUGUUCAAGCGAUAUAGUAAGGAAAACAUUCAUAGCCUGGUAUACUUUGAUUCUGUGGAGAGGUUCCACAUUUAUGCAUUUAUCAUAUUCAUCCUAGCUCAAAACAUUCUGGAGGAAACAUUUGAUGGGAAACUGUUUUAACAUUUGGGUACUGCAGAACGCUGGUGUGGUAUUCGUCUGUGAAAUGAUCAUCGAUAUCGUAAAGCACUCGUUCAUUGCUAAGUUCAAUGACAUAAAGCCCUUUGCAUACUCUGAGUUUCUUGAAGGACCUAUGCAAGCAGAGUGGGAUUGGAGAUUUGAAAGGUGGAAGUGCGGGACGAGAACCUGAAUAUCGUGGCAGACGUUCAAACAGGAUCAAGAGCUUUGCCUACUUUCAUCAACUAUACUCGUGAUGGUAUAGAGGUACAUGUAUAGUCAUGACUUAAUUGAAAAUUUGAAAUAACAUUUGAUGGCCUCUAUGCUUCGCCUUCUAUCAGUUGUAGUGGGCGGUAAAGACUCAGAAAUCAUAGAGCCAACAGCGAUGAGGUGUGCAUUGAAGUGGCUGAUUAUAUACAGACUUUGGUAUAGAAUUUUGACUACUAAAAUGAUUUGGAGUAAGGCUAGUUUUUUUCUUUGAGGCAAUGUGUGUUGAUAAAACUGAUUGUAACUUGUUAUUCAUAUGUCUCUAGGCUAGCUUUUGUAGGCUUGGAGUUUUCUGUUGGAUCAUGAAUUUGGAAAG